GGUGGCUUGCUACUUCGAUGUCGUCUCUUCCUAUCCUGGGUCUGCAGCAGGACCCAAGGGUGGGGUUGUUCGCCCAUUAAAAGGGAUCGUGAGAUGGGUUUAGACCGUCGUGAGACAGGGUUGUUGCUUGGUGGUGGAAGCGUUGUUGCUUGAUGGAAGGGGUCCUUCAGUACGAGAGGAACGAGGGCUCGGGGCCACUAGUUUACCAGUUGUCUGAUAAGGCAAUGCUGGGCAGCCACGCCCUAGCGGAUAAGAGCUGAAAGCAUCUAAGCUCGAAGCCGCCCCAAAGACGAGGCAAUGCAGAACUCUCGUAGAAGACGAGUUUGAUAGACUUCGGAUGUAAG
This 344-nucleotide ribosomal RNA is filed under the name Methanobacteriota archaeon. RNAcentral describes it as "bacterial LSU rRNA". It matches the Rfam family "Archaeal large subunit ribosomal RNA", at positions 2581 to 2928 of the family's 2987-position model. The record is from RNAcentral. Lineage: Archaea; Methanobacteriati; Methanobacteriota.